AAGUCGUAACAAGGUUUCCGUAGGUGAACCUGCGGAAGGAUCAUUAACAACAUAUCCUAACUAAAAAACCCUGUGAACUUUCAACCCCAAGCUCUUGAUCCGAGGAGUUCAGCAAUCUCUGGUAAAUCAUUGUUGACCAGCUUUUGAGUCAGGGACCUCUGCAGAUUGUGAUAUUUUAUAGCUACGGUUGAGCGAUUGCAUCUAGUGACCUGGCAUCCCCAAGUAAUCAGUGUUCUGAAAGUGUCAUUGAUUGUGUAAGGAUGGCGCAGUCACGAUCGCUGUAGGCCCACACGGCCGGCGACCGGGUCACCGGGCUCUGCUCCUUUACGACAACUACAGUCUAACUUCGCCGCGCGUGAAAUUCGCACGGCACCAAAAACCGAACAACUGUUAACAAUGGAUAUCUUGGUUCUC
Molecule: unclassified non-coding RNA, 414 nt
Filed under: fungal sp.
Lineage: Eukaryota; Fungi
Description: partial internal transcribed spacer region
Rfam family: Eukaryotic small subunit ribosomal RNA (bases 1-46)
Source: RNAcentral